Molecule: ribosomal RNA, 481 nt
Filed under: uncultured bacterium
Lineage: Bacteria
Description: partial 16S ribosomal RNA
Rfam family: Bacterial small subunit ribosomal RNA
Source: RNAcentral
GAACGCUGGCGGCAGGCCUAACACAUGCAAGUCGAGCGGAUGAAGGGAGCUUGCUCCUGGAUUCAGCGGCGGACGGGUGUGUAAUGCCUAGGAAUCUGCCUGGUAGUGGGGGAUAACGUCCGGAAACGGGCGCUAAUACCGCAUACGUCCUGAGGGAGAAAGUGGGGGAUCUUCGGACCUCACGCUAUCAGAUGAGCCUAGGUCGGAUUAGCUAGUUGGUGGGGUAAAGGCCUACCAAGGCGACGAUCCGUAACUGGUCUGAGAGGAUGAUCAGUCACACUGGAACUGAGACACGGUCCAGACUCCUACGGGAGGCAGCAGUGGGGAAUAUUGGACAAUGGGCGAAAGCCUGAUCCAGCCAUGCCGCGUGUGUGAAGAAGGUCUUCGGAUUGUAAAGCACUUUAAGUUGGGAGGAAGGGCGGUAAGUUAAUACCUUGCUGUUUUGACGUUACCAACAGAAUAAGCACCGGCUAACUUCGUG